This is a long non-coding RNA of Etheostoma cragini (Arkansas darter), 115 nucleotides long. RefSeq lists it as uncharacterized. Lineage: Eukaryota; Metazoa; Chordata; Actinopteri; Perciformes; Percidae. The transcript has 3 exons. The record is from RefSeq and is a predicted model, not a curated record.
AUUCAAAAGUUUAACCACGAUCGUCACACCAAGGCUUCAAAAUUAAGACCAUCUACUAGCCAAAUGCUGGUAAAAUAUGCAAGUGGCUGGUGGAUCUGCUUCACUCACCAACCCC